RNAcentral lists this long non-coding RNA (382 nucleotides) under Rattus norvegicus (Norway rat). Its description in RNAcentral is "long non-coding RNA NONRATT001983". The record is from RNAcentral. Lineage: Eukaryota; Metazoa; Chordata; Mammalia; Rodentia; Muridae.
CAAGCGCACGCGAAGGCCUCACGGUCUCCGGAACCCGAGCCAGAUUCGCAGCCAGGCCCGCUCUUCGCGCCAGCUCCCCAUCCCCCACCCCUGCGGCCCGCGGCGCCUUCCAAACCCGAGGAGGUGACGAUGAAAACGCACAAGUAACGGCUCCGAGGUGGGGGGGUGGGGGGGGAGUCUCCUUUCUCGCCGCCGACCCGUCACCACGCACGAGAGUUCUCAACACCCAACGGUCCUGUCUCCUCGACUUUUUUCUUUUGAGUGACUGGAAUGCAGCGCAAGGCCUACCUGACACGCCGAAGCACGAUUCUCAGGAUUUACCUCCGCUGUAACUACACAGCGGCCAUUUCCCGACUCCAGAAGGAGAGGAAGACCAUAGAGG